Molecule: ribosomal RNA, 465 nt
Filed under: uncultured bacterium
Lineage: Bacteria
Description: partial 16S ribosomal RNA
Rfam family: Bacterial small subunit ribosomal RNA
Source: RNAcentral
GACGAACGCUGGCGGCGUGCUUAACACAUGCAAGUCGAACGGAAAGGCCCUGCUUGCAGGGUACUCGAGUGGCGAACGGGUGAGUAACACGUGGGUGUUCUGCUCUGCACUUCGGGAUAAGCCUGGGAAACUGGGCCUAAUACCGGAUAGGAGCCAUUUUUAGUGUGAUGGUUGGAAAGUUUUUUCGGUGUAGGAUGAGCUGGCGGCCUAUCAGCUUGUUGGUGGGGUAAUGGCCUACCAAGGCGGCGACGGGUAGCCGGCCUGAGAGGGUGGACGGCCACACUGGGACUGAGGGGCGGCCCAGACGGGUAAGGGUGGCAGCAGGGGGGAAGAUUGCUCAAUGGGCGCAAGCCGGGUGCAGCAGGGCCGCGGGGGGUAUAACGGCCUUAGGGUUGAAGACGCCUUGCGCUAGGAACGAAGCUUUUUGUGACGGUACCUAGAGAAGAAGCACCGGCUAACUACGUG